GUUGAGGGGAAUGUCGUCUGGCUCGAGAUCAUUUAUGCAAGUGGCCUCAGGCAUAACUCGAUGAAUGAUUUCGGACCAGGCUUCAUUCCCCUCAAC
Lupinus albus (white lupine) is the source of this 96-nucleotide non-coding RNA. Lineage: Eukaryota; Viridiplantae; Streptophyta; Magnoliopsida; Fabales; Fabaceae. The record is from the annotation of a GenBank genome assembly.